This is a long non-coding RNA of Panthera uncia (snow leopard), 428 nucleotides long. RefSeq lists it as uncharacterized. The record is from RefSeq and is a predicted model, not a curated record. NCBI's taxonomy places the organism in Eukaryota, Metazoa, Chordata, Mammalia, Carnivora, Felidae. The transcript has 3 exons.
UUUUUAUUUAUUUGUUUGUUUGUUUGUUUGUUUGUUUGUUUUUAGUGUUGAAGCGGACACCUCUUGGAGUACGUGGCCUAUUCCAGAGACGUGCUGUUUCUUCACGAACCUCCAAUUUGAUGCUCAUCAGCCAGGGAAGAAUUGGAUGUUUCAAAUAAGAUGAAAGGGAAGACAACAUCGACCUCGGAUGUUCCCAGUCAUUAAGAGGGGAGGAAGAGAAGUUUAGGUUUCCCAAUUUGGAUGCCUUCUCAAAACAACAGAAAGGAUUAGAAAUUCUCAGGGGGCGCCUGGGUGACUCAGUCGGUUAAGCGUCUGACUCUUAAUUGUGGCUCAGCUCGUGAUCUCGCGGUUGUGGGACCAAGCCCCGUGUCGGACUCUGCACGGAGUGUGGAGCCUGCUUGGGAUUUUCUCUCUCUCCCUCUCUCUGC